GGAGAAAUCUCUCACAACUUUUAUAGUGUGCAAACAUACAUUAACAAAAUGGGGAAGUAUGAUGGAGUAAUGUCGUAUGGAGGUAGAAGGCCUAUGCGUCAUGAACUUCUUUUUCCAUAGAAGAAGCAAUGACGGUAUCCGGGGAACAAGCAUUGGCUAACUUUGUGCCAGCAGUCGCGAUAAGACAGAAGAUGCAAGCGUUAUCC
This is a non-coding RNA of Lupinus albus (white lupine), 206 nucleotides long. Lineage: Eukaryota; Viridiplantae; Streptophyta; Magnoliopsida; Fabales; Fabaceae. The record is from the annotation of a GenBank genome assembly.